RNAcentral lists this ribosomal RNA (1267 nucleotides) under uncultured fungus. RNAcentral describes it as "eukaryotic LSU rRNA". The stretch from base 600 to 1267 matches the Rfam family "Eukaryotic large subunit ribosomal RNA", at positions 1 to 649 of the family's 3401-position model. Lineage: Eukaryota; Fungi. The record is from RNAcentral.
AAGUCGUAACAAGGUUUCCGUAGGUGAACCUGCGGAAGGAUCAUUACCGAGUAUCGGGAUGUUGUGCUGGUUCUUACAAGUGCACGCUCCCUUCAUUCAAUUCACACCCCGUGCACCUUUGAUGAGAUCGAGGCCUUACCCCCGUUCACGUGUCCUUCGGGACUCCGGGUUGGGACGACGUCUCAUUUUUUACAUCAACACAAGUAUUCAGAAUGUCGACUUGCAGUAAUGCAGAAAAAUAUAACUUUCAACAACGGAUCUCUUGGUUCUCGCAUCGAUGAAGAACGCAGCGAAAUGCGAUAAGUAAUGUGAAUUGCAGAAUUCAGUGAAUCAUCGAAUCUUUGAACGCACCUUGCACCCUUUGGUAUUCCGAAGGGUAUGCCUGUUCGAGUGUCAUGAAACUCUCAAACCGCAUCUUUAUUGAUGUCGGGUUUGGACUUGGACGUUGCUGNNCUCACGCUCGGCUCGUCUUAAAUGCAUUAGCUGGCUCUUUCGACUUCAGUUACUCGGUGUGAUAAUACAUCUACGCCGUAGCCGCGAGGCACUGGGAUCGAUCACAGAGCGGCUCAUAACCGUCNUCGGACAAUUUUCAUCACAUCUGGCCUCGAAUCAGGUAGGACUACCCGCUGAACUUAAGCAUAUCAAUAAGCGGAGGAAAAGAAACUAACAAGGAUUCCCCUAGUNACGGCGAGUGAAGCGGGAAGAGCUCAAAUUUUAAAUCUGGCGGUCUUCGGCCGUCCGAGUUGUAAUCUAGAGAAGUGUUAUCCGUGCUGGACCGUAUAUAAGUCCCCUGGAACGGGGCGUCAUAGAGGGUGAGAAUCCCGUCUUUAAUGCGGACUGCCAGUGCUAUGUGAUGCGCUCUCAAAGAGUCGAGUUGUUUGGGAAUGCAGCUCAAAACGGGUGGUAAAUUCCAUCUAAAGCUAAAUAUUGGCGAGAGACCGAUAGCGAACAAGUACCGUGAGGGAAAGAUGAAAAGCACUUUGGAAAGAGAGUCAAACAGUACGUGAAAUUGUUGAAAGGGAAACGAUUGAAGUCAGUCGCGUCUGCCGGGAUUCAGCCUUGCUUCUGCUCGGUGCAUUUCCUGGUCUGACGGGUCAACAUCGGUUUGGCUUGGCGGAUAAAGGUUGGGGGAAUGUGGCAUCUUCGGGUGUGUUAUAGCCUCUGAUUGUAUACGCUGGGUUCAGACCGAGGAAUUCAGCAUGCCUUUAUGGUCGGGGUACGCCCACGUAACAUGCUUAGGAUGUUGGCGUAAUGGCUUUAAACGACC